AUUUGCGCCGAAGGUAUACCGGUAAGGAGUGCUGGAGCGAAUAGAAGUGAGCAUGCAGGCAUGAGUAGCGAUAAUUAAUGUGAGAAUCAUUAACGCCGUAAACCCAAGGUUUCCUACGCGAUGCUCGUCAUCGUAGGGUUAGUCGGGUCCUAAGUCGAGUCCGAAAGGGGUAGACGAUGGCAAAUUGGUUAAUAUUCCAAUACCAACAUUAGUGUGCGAUGGAAGGACGCUUAGGGCUAAGGGGGCUAGCGGAUGGAAGUGCUAGUCUAAGGUCGUAGGAGGUUAUACAGGCAAAUCCGUAUAACAAUACUCCGAGAACUGAAAGGCUUUUUGAAGUCUUCGGAUGGAUAGAAGAACCCCUGAUGCCGUCGAGCCAAGAAAAGUUUCUAAGUUUAGCUAAUGUUGCCCGUACCGUAAACCGACACAGGUGGGUGGGAUGAGUAUUCUAAGGCGCGUGGAAGAACUCUCUUUAAGGAACUCUGCAAAAUAGCACCGUAUCUUCGGUAUAAGGUGUGGUUC
RNAcentral lists this ribosomal RNA (519 nucleotides) under Campylobacter coli. RNAcentral's name for it is "partial 23S ribosomal RNA". It matches the Rfam family "Bacterial large subunit ribosomal RNA", at positions 1243 to 1754 of the family's 2925-position model. Lineage: Bacteria; Pseudomonadati; Campylobacterota; Epsilonproteobacteria; Campylobacterales; Campylobacteraceae. The record is from RNAcentral.